This 606-nucleotide unclassified non-coding RNA is filed under the name Hevea brasiliensis (rubber tree). Lineage: Eukaryota; Viridiplantae; Streptophyta; Magnoliopsida; Malpighiales; Euphorbiaceae. The record is from RNAcentral.
GGAACUUUUACCCAAAUUUGAAAGUAAUGCAACUUCAAGAUCUUAAACUUAAAAAUAAAUGGGUUCUAAUGGCAGUUUCAAAAGGAGGAACUACAGAGGGUAUACCUGAGGAAUUAUCGGAGACAGAGGUGGUUGGUGCUGGGAAAAAGACCGGCAGGACAUCAAAACAAGCUCCAGUUUUGUCUAGGCGAAAGAAAGUAGUUGAGUUUUCAAAUGAUGAGGAAGCGGAAAAUACUUCAGGGUCAAUUGAAGAACCCAAAAAAACCCAGAGACGAACCCGAAAGAAAAAAGACACAGUGGAGAGUUCGAUUGGUGAUUCCAUAUCCGAUGUGGAGGGUAAUGUCACUGAUGAAGACGCUGUAACAGAGCCAGAAUCAAGUGGGAAGCCCAAGAAAACCCGAAGAACCCGGAAGAAAAAAGAGAUAAAGGAGAGCUCAUUUGAGGAUUCCGUGUUAGGUGUGGAGGGCAAUGUGACAGAUGAGGAAGGCUCACCAACUUCAAGGUCAAGUGAAGAGCCUGUAGAAAAAAGAAAACGAACUGCAAAGAAAGCUGCUUCUAGCUCUAGUAGCUUGGAGAAAGAACCAACGCAAAAGGCCACAAGGGGGA